RNAcentral lists this ribosomal RNA (800 nucleotides) under uncultured bacterium. Its description in RNAcentral is "bacterial SSU rRNA". It matches the Rfam family "Bacterial small subunit ribosomal RNA", at positions 33 to 832 of the family's 1533-position model. The record is from RNAcentral.
GGGCGGGCGGGGAGCCUACACAUGCAAGUCGAACGAAGCGUGCGGAUGGAAUUUCUUCGGAGAGGAAGCCUGCAUGACUGAGUGGCGGACGGGUGAGUAACGCGUGGGCAACCUGCCCUGCACAGGGGGACAACAGCCGGAAACGGCUGCUAAUACCGCAUAAGCGCACAGCUUCGCAUGGAGCGGUGUGAAAAGCUGCGGCGGUGCAGGAUGGGCCCGCGUCUGAUUAGCUGGUUGGCGGGGCAACGGCCCACCAAGGCGACGAUCAGUAGCCGGCCUGAGAGGGUGGACGGCCACAUUGGGACUGAGACACGGCCCAGACUCCUACGGGAGGCAGCAGUGGGGAAUAUUGCACAAUGGGGGAAACCCUGAUGCAGCGACGCCGCGUGAGCGAAGAAGUAUUUCGGUAUGUAAAGCUCUAUCAGCAGGGAAGAAAUUGACGGUACCUGAGUAAGAAGCUCCGGCUAAAUACGUGCCAGCAGCCGCGGUAAUACGUAUGGAGCAAGCGUUAUCCGGAUUUACUGGGUGUAAAGGGAGCGUAGGCGGCCUGCCAAGUCUGAUGUGAAAUACCGGGGCUCAACCCCGGGGCUGCAUUGGAAACUGGCAGGCUGGAGUGUCGGAGAGGCAGGCGGAAUUCCUAGUGUAGCGGUGAAAUGCGUAGAUAUUAGGAGGAACACCAGUGGCGAAGGCGGCCUGCUGGACGAUGACUGACGCUGAGGCUCGAAAGCGUGGGGAGCAAACAGGAUUAGAUACGCUGGUAGUCCACGCCGUAAACGAUGAACACUANGUGUCGGGGAGCG